GACUCCACUAACUUGCCUCGCCAUCAACCCAUCUGCGCCCACAGAAUCCUCCGCAUAAAAGAAAGGAGUAAAAUAGUGUUAAAUAAAAAGAAUAAAAUAAUUGCUAACUCAGAACAGUAAUUAAAUAUGUAUAAAUGAAACAGUAAAUAAUGUAAGAUAUGACAAGUCUGAUCGAAGUGAGGCACAUAGUUCAACACUAUCCUAAGAAUGUAUUGCCUCCUAUCAUACAGGAUUUUCUGGUCAGAUACAUUCUCAAGGUAUAACCCUCGUCUACUUGUUCGAAUCUUCGAUAAGUAUGAAUCUCAGGGAUACUAAUUUCAAGAUUUUGUUAUGCAAACAAUGCCCCAAGAAAAAGAGAUGAAAAGAUUGUAUAGCAGGGAAGGGCUAUCAGAUUCAGGA
Molecule: long non-coding RNA, 399 nt
Filed under: Elaeis guineensis (African oil palm)
Lineage: Eukaryota; Viridiplantae; Streptophyta; Magnoliopsida; Arecales; Arecaceae
Description: long non-coding RNA (EGUI_LNC031238)
Source: RNAcentral